CCUACGGGAGGCAGUAGUGGGGAAUAUUGCGCAAUGGGGGCUACCCUGAAGCAGCAACGCCGCGUGAGUGAAGAAGGCCCUCGGGUUGUAAAGCUUUUUAAUUAGGGACGAAGAAUGACGGUACCUGAAGAAUAAGCUCCGGCCAACUACGUGCCAGCAGCCGCGGUAAUACGUAGGGAGCAAGCGUUAUCCGGAUUUACGGGGUGUAACGGGCGUGUAGGCGGGCCUGCAAGUCAGAAGUGAAAUCUGGCGGCUUAACCCCCAAACUGCUUUUGAAACUGUGGGUCUUGAGUGAUGGAGAGGCAGGCGGAAUUCCCGGUGUAGCGGUGAAAUGCGUAGAUAUUGCGAAGAACACCAGUGGCGAAGGCGGCCUGCUGGACAUUAACUGACGCUGAGGCGCGAAAGCGUGGGUAGCAAACAGGAUUAGAUACCCCAGUAGUC
This 441-nucleotide ribosomal RNA is filed under the name uncultured bacterium. RNAcentral's name for it is "partial 16S ribosomal RNA". It matches the Rfam family "Bacterial small subunit ribosomal RNA", at positions 338 to 795 of the family's 1533-position model. The record is from RNAcentral.